CGAAAGCCUGACGGAGCAAUACCGCGUGAGGGAGGAAGGCUCUUGGGUUGUAAACCUCUUUUCUCAAGGAAUAAGUUCUGAAGGUACUUGAGGAAUAAGCAUCGGCUAACUCCGUGCCAGCAGCCGCGGUAAUACGGAGGAUGCAAGCGUUAUCCGGAAUGAUUGGGCGUAAAGCGUCCGCAGGUGGUUUAUCAAGUCUGCUGUCAAAGCGUCUGGCUCAACUAGAUAAAGGCAGUGGAAACUGAGAGACUGGAGUAUGGUAGGGGUAGAGGGAAUUCCCGGUGUAGCGGUGAAAUGCGUAGAGAUCGGGAAGAACACCGGUGGCGAAAGCGCUCUGCUGGACCAUAACUGACACUGAGGGACGAAAGCUAGGGGAGCG
RNAcentral lists this ribosomal RNA (379 nucleotides) under uncultured Brasilonema sp. Its description in RNAcentral is "bacterial SSU rRNA". It matches the Rfam family "Bacterial small subunit ribosomal RNA", at positions 376 to 770 of the family's 1533-position model. Lineage: Bacteria; Bacillati; Cyanobacteriota; Cyanophyceae; Nostocales; Scytonemataceae. The record is from RNAcentral.